This 24-nucleotide non-coding RNA is filed under the name Rattus norvegicus (Norway rat). The record is from RNAcentral. Lineage: Eukaryota; Metazoa; Chordata; Mammalia; Rodentia; Muridae.
UAGUGAAUUACUACACCUUGGUUC